AACGCACCUUGCGCUCCUUGGUAUUCCGAGGAGCAUGCCUGUUUGAGUGUCAUUAAAUUCUCAACCUUUCCUGCUUUUAUUAGCUGGGUCAGGCUUGGAUGUGGGGGUUGCAGGCUUCUCAGAAGUCUGCUCUCCUUAAAUGCAUUAGCGGAACCUUUGUUGACCAGCUCUGGUGUGAUAAUUAUCUAUGCCAUUGUGAAGCGACUUUUUAUGGGGUUUGGCUUCUAACCGUCCGCAAGGACAACCUUUUUGACAUUUGACCUCAAAUCAGGUAGGACUACCCGCUGAACUUAA
RNAcentral lists this unclassified non-coding RNA (294 nucleotides) under uncultured Clitocybe. RNAcentral's name for it is "sequence contains ITS2". The stretch from base 1 to 52 matches the Rfam family "5.8S ribosomal RNA", at positions 103 to 154 of the family's 154-position model. Lineage: Eukaryota; Fungi; Basidiomycota; Agaricomycetes; Agaricales; Tricholomataceae. The record is from RNAcentral.